RNAcentral lists this ribosomal RNA (486 nucleotides) under uncultured bacterium. Its description in RNAcentral is "bacterial SSU rRNA". It matches the Rfam family "Bacterial small subunit ribosomal RNA", at positions 28 to 507 of the family's 1533-position model. The record is from RNAcentral.
GAUGAACGCUAGCGGCAGGCCUAACACAUGCAAGUCGAGGGGCAUCGCGGUGCAGCAAUGCACUGGCGGCGACCGGCGUACGGGUGCGUAACGCGUAUGCAACCUGCCCCGCACCGGGGGAUAGCCCGCCGAAAGGCGGAUUAAUACCCCAUGGGUCCCGGGGGCCCGCAUGGGCAUCCGGGUAAAGCCUUGGCGGUGCGGGAUGGGCAUGCGUGCCAUUAGCUGGCUGGUGGGGUAACGGCCCACCAGGGCAACGAUGGCUAGGGGGUCUGAGAGGAUGGUCCCCCACACUGGUACUGAGACACGGACCAGACUCCUACGGGAGGCAGCAGUGAGGAAUAUUGGUCAAUGGGCGGAAGCCUGAACCAGCCAUGCCGCGUGCGGGAUGAAGGCCCUACGGGUUGUAAACCGCUUUUCCCCGGGAAGAAUAACCCCGAUGAGUCGGGGGAUGCCGGUACCGGGGAAUAAGGAUCGGCUAACUCCGUG